RNAcentral lists this ribosomal RNA (485 nucleotides) under uncultured bacterium. Its description in RNAcentral is "partial 16S ribosomal RNA". It matches the Rfam family "Bacterial small subunit ribosomal RNA", at positions 899 to 1397 of the family's 1533-position model. The record is from RNAcentral.
ACUCAAAUGAAUUGACGGGGACCCACACAAGCGGUGGAGCAUCUGGUUUAAUUCGACAGUAAGCGAGGAACCUCACCAAGACUUGACAUCCCGGGAAGUUUGCCGAAAGGUGAAUGUGCCGUAAGGAACCCGGUGACAGGUGCUGCAUGGUUGUCGUCAGCUCGUGCCUUGAGGUGUUCGGUUAAGUCCGUGAACGAGCGCAACCCUUGUCCCAAGUUGUAUUUUUUCUUGGGAGACUGCCGGCUCUAAGUCGGAGGAAGGCAAGGAUGACGUCAAAUCAGCAUGGCCCUUAUGUCUUGGGCGACACAGGUGCUACAAUGGCCGGUACAAUGGGCUGCGAAGAGGUAACUCGGAGCUAAUCCCUAAAACUGGUCUAAGUUCGGAUUGAGGGCUGCAACUCGCCCUCAUGAAGUUGGAAUCGCUAGUAACCGCGGAUCAGCCAUGGCGCGGUGAAUAUGUUCCUGGGUCUUGUACACACCGCCCGU